GAGAAGGAGGGUGUGUGCCUGGAGGACUCCACCGCCCACUGGUACAUCCAGUGCUUCCUGGAUGGGGUGCCGUUCCCCCUGGCUCUGAGAAUAUGGGAUAUAUACAUCCUGGAGGGCGAGCACGUGCUCCCGGCCAUGGCAUACACGGCCCUCAAGAUCCAUAACAGCCCCCACAGACCACAAGGAGAAGUGGCCAGGGUCAUCGCACUGGAAAUUGGCCCCUGAGCAGUCCCUCUAGUGCUUGGUGUGACACCCAAGGGUGUCCAAGGGUGUCUGCAGCCCAUGUCUGGUGCUGGGACAGGGCUUGGAGCAGCCAUGGUGGCUGCGCCAUCCCUAGGGCCCCUCCCAGCCUGACACCCACCCCCAUGUCUAGAGCGCCUGCUGAAGAUGCCCCGGGACCACCUCCGGGAGUUCCUGCAGGUGACCCUGAAGCAGGCCUGGUCUCUGAGCGAGGACGCGGUCAUCAGGCAGCUGCGGGCCUCCAUGCGUGAGCUGGGGAAGCUCCAGUGCCUCCUGCCUCCCGAAGGUGAGUCCAGCACACGGCCCCGUCCCAUGCUCCCUUGGGGGAGUCAGUAGUGGGAGUGCCAGGCCCUGACAUCCCCGCCCAGGGCCUCACCUCUUCCUGGUCCUCCUUGUCCUCCCCGGGCUCAGCAGUUCUGCUUUCUGAAGCUCUGUCAGCAUGGCCUGACAGGGCCUCGGGCAGCUUCCCAGAAUCCUCCUGUGGGUGCCGGCUCUCCCCCCACCACUCUGGGGCUGGGCCGUGGAGCUGUCCUCAGGACAUUUGUGGCUCUGGCUCCUCGGCUGACCCCCACUCUGGAGUGGAUUGGAGGCCCCGCCUUGAGCUACCCUGCCCAGGUCUGGAGCAGGUGCCCUGGCUCAGUGCCCCCAGGAGCCUGGAGCACAGCUGGACCCCCACUCCAGCAAGAUGAGAAGUGGCCCUGCCUGCCCAGGGGGCCCCUCCCCAACUGACCCCACACAGGCUCCUGGCCCGAUGACCACAGCUGUCUGCACACAGGACCCUCCUAGGACAGCCAAGGCUAUAAAAUGGUGCAGCAGGCCCCUGGGGCAGGCACGCGUCCCCCAGAUGCACGUUCCUGCCCCCACUGCUCCGAAGGCCAAAAUCACCAUUCAGGACACAGUGGCAGUGUGGGAGCAGACCAGGGGUCCCGCUACCCGUGCAGUGAUGAUCGUCCUCCAGAAAGCUUUGGCCUCUGCAUCGCCGAGAGGGAAGGCCUGGAGGAGGAGGAGAGCUGGGAAGGCAGCCCAGAGCCCCUCGGCCUGGGCUUCCCUGUGGGGACCACAGUCUCCAGGUUCUGCCAGCCCCACGGAGUCUCCAGAGUACUCGAGGUGGGGAGGCCUGUGCCAGUGCGCCAGUCUCCCUAACCUGAGCGGGCCAGAGCACAGGGAGGACGACUUCUCCGACGCUGGCAGCCAGGAGGGCCUGUGGAUGUGGGCUCCUCCACGGGCCUCGGAGCCCCCGGAACCAGGGCCCAUGCAGGCUGUCCCCGCCUGGGGGCCACGGCUGAAGACUUCCCCCUACUGGCAUGGCAGCCCCACGCACUCUGGGGACAGUCACGGGCUGGAGCCGGCCAGAGCCAGCCCUGGGCUGGGAGACCAGACCCGCGUGCCCUCCCUGGCCAGAGGCCUCCUUACCUCCUAUUCCACAGGACACCUGGAUGAUGGGUGCCUCCUAGAAGAGAGGCCGAGUCCAGCAUCUGUCCUGCCCAGGCUGGGCAGCAGCCUUUCCGUGUGUCUUCACGGCAUCCUAUGCACUUGGUUGAGCCCCCACCGCCCAGGCU
Long non-coding RNA from Oryctolagus cuniculus (rabbit), 1799 nucleotides. The record is from Ensembl. Lineage: Eukaryota; Metazoa; Chordata; Mammalia; Lagomorpha; Leporidae.